UUCAAGAUAAUAUAUUUGGUAUGAAGGUUUUAUUAUGUAAUUGAUGUUGGAAAAAUCUUUGUGAUCUUUUAUUGUAAUAUUCUUUAAAAAUAAUUUGAAAGUAUAAUUUCAGAUUAUGAAAAAUUCCGAGAAAAAGAAAAGAACAAAUACUGUAAAGAAAAUAUUUAGAUAAUGUCUGUGGAUCGAGACGUGCAGAGCACUGUCCUAGAAGCGAAAUUACCCAUUCACGUGCAAGGCUUCCCAUCAAUUACUUCCACUUCUAGUGAUACAACGAUUACAUUCCACCCCGUCGGCACGCUUUCAAGGUGGCGCAAGACGAACCCAACAAGCUUCAGAUCCAGCAAAACAUAUCAAUUUAUUAUUUAAAAUGUAACUACUUCUGCACGCCCAGGCUGGAUCUACUCCUCUUUCAACUGAAACUGUAACUACUUCUACACGCCUCGAUCCAUAGGUCUUAUCUAAACUUUUUCUUUAUAAUAUUUAUUAUUUAUUUUCUUUUUUGAAAUUUUUUUAAAUCUGAAAUUAAACUUUCGAAUUAUUUUUAAAAAAUGUUAUAAUAAAAUAUCAGAAAGAUUUUUCCAAC
RNAcentral lists this long non-coding RNA (583 nucleotides) under Ananas comosus (pineapple). RNAcentral describes it as "long non-coding RNA (ACOM_LNC001775)". Lineage: Eukaryota; Viridiplantae; Streptophyta; Magnoliopsida; Poales; Bromeliaceae. The record is from RNAcentral.